CAGUAGCCGCGGGAAUACGGAGGGUGCAAGCGUUAAUCGGAAUUACUGGGCGUAAAGCGCACGCAGGCGGUCUGACAAGUCAGAUGUGAAAUCCCCGGGCUUAACCUGGGAACUGCAUUUGAAACUGUCAGGCUGGAGUCUUGUAGAGGGGGGUAGAAUUCCAGGUGUAGCGGUGAAAUGCGUAGAGAUCUGGAGGAAUACCGAUGGCGAAGGCAGCCAUCUGGCCUAAUACUGACGCUGAGGUACGAAAGCAUGGGGAGCAAACAGGAUUAGAUACCCCGGUAGUCCCUGUCUCUUAUAC
This 301-nucleotide ribosomal RNA is filed under the name uncultured bacterium. RNAcentral's name for it is "partial 16S ribosomal RNA". It matches the Rfam family "Bacterial small subunit ribosomal RNA", at positions 509 to 807 of the family's 1533-position model. The record is from RNAcentral.